RNAcentral lists this unclassified non-coding RNA (203 nucleotides) under Hevea brasiliensis (rubber tree). Lineage: Eukaryota; Viridiplantae; Streptophyta; Magnoliopsida; Malpighiales; Euphorbiaceae. The record is from RNAcentral.
GCUGGAUUUGAGCUUUGCGUGCUUUUCUAACAUCAGUUUCAUUAGCAUUUUUUGUCACAGAAGGUGCAUAUUGUCUAAAUCUCCUUUUAGGAGCACCACAAACAGGGCAGAAGUACUUGUCAGGCAGUUUCUCGAAGGGAGUCCUUUCAUUGUAAAUAUACCCGCAAUCGCGACAAAUAUAGGCUUGCUUGGAGGCAACACGC